Molecule: unclassified non-coding RNA, 220 nt
Filed under: uncultured Peniophorella
Lineage: Eukaryota; Fungi; Basidiomycota; Agaricomycetes; Corticiales; Corticiaceae
Description: sequence contains ITS2
Source: RNAcentral
ACAUUAUCAACCCCAGUGGGAUUUUAAUAUCCAAACUGGUUGGCUUUGGACUUGGGGGCUUUGCUGGCCGUUUCAAUUCGGUCAGCUCCCCUUGAAUGCAUUAGCUUGGACUUGUUCUACGGGCUACUUGGCGUGAUAACUAUCUACGCUUUGGUACUGUCUGUGGGAUACUUAUGGGUCUGGCUUCUAAUCGUCUUUCGGGACAAUUACUUUUUAAGUU